RNAcentral lists this long non-coding RNA (272 nucleotides) under Hordeum vulgare. Its description in RNAcentral is "long non-coding RNA (HVUL_LNC017462)". Lineage: Eukaryota; Viridiplantae; Streptophyta; Magnoliopsida; Poales; Poaceae. The record is from RNAcentral.
GCCACACUUUCCUUUGUUUCUCGUCUCUAUCGCCGCAACGGCACGAUCGGAGUACACGCCCGCAAGGGAUGGAGCUUGUGCGCGUCGGGGCUAUCGUGCCGCGUUGGGGCUUGAGCUCGCAUGCACCGUCAAGGAGCCGGAGCUCGUGCGCUCUAGAGCUCUGCCGCGCCCAGGCCGGAGCUCGCGCGCUCUAGAGCUCUGCCGCGCCCAGGCCGGAGCUCGUGCCUACCAGGGAUGGAGCGCGUGCGCGUCGCCGCCGAGCCGGAGCUCGC